RNAcentral lists this ribosomal RNA (433 nucleotides) under uncultured bacterium. RNAcentral describes it as "partial 16S ribosomal RNA". It matches the Rfam family "Bacterial small subunit ribosomal RNA", at positions 29 to 507 of the family's 1533-position model. The record is from RNAcentral.
AACGAACGCUGGCGGCAUGCCUAACACAUGCAAGUCGAACGAUGCCUUCGGGCAUAGUGGCGCACGGGUGCGUAACGCGUGGGAAUGUGCCUUUCGGUUCGGAAUAACUCAGGGAAACUUGAGCUAAUACCGGAUAACGUCGCAAGACCAAAGAUUUAUCACCGAAAGAUGAGCCCGCGUAGGAUUAGCUAGUUGGUGAGGUAAAGGCUCACCAAGGCGACGAUCCUUAGCUGGUCUGAGAGGAUGAUCAGCCACACUGGGACUGAGACACGGCCCAGACUCCUACGGGAGGCAGCAGUGGGGAAUAUUGGACAAUGGGCGAAAGCCUGAUCCAGCAAUGCCGCGUGAGUGAUGAAGGCCUUAGGGUUGUAAAGCUCUUUUACCCGGGAAGAUAAUGACGGUACCGGGAGAAUAAGCCCCGGCUAACUCCGUG